Long non-coding RNA from Bos taurus (domestic cattle), 755 nucleotides. NCBI's taxonomy places the organism in Eukaryota, Metazoa, Chordata, Mammalia, Artiodactyla, Bovidae. The record is from Ensembl.
CAAAGGUCUAUAUUGCCAAACAACUCUGUUUUAAAUAUUAUCUUUGCUUCAUAUUCAUACCUGAUAGUCUUCUCUGAGGGUACCAAUCAAAGGUCAAGACCUUUUUCACAACAUCACUGAUCUUCCUUGAAAAUCCAUGGAGAGUGGAUAGAUCAGAUAGUGGAGUGGUAACUGAAGAAAUAAAGAGGAAGUUGCUCAGGACAGAAGAUAAAAACAUGAGACAAAGGAAACAAACUGCUCUUGGAUAGGGUGCUUCUGAGGCUGGGAUUCUUCCCAGGGAAGACCACGCUGCGGAUCUACUGCUGCAUAAGGAGCCAUGCCAAAAGGACCAGAAAAGGCUUUGGAGUUCCUAACUGGUUUGGGACCAGAGACGGGGAGCACUUAACCAGAGGUCCUGGUAAGGAACAAGGAACUAAUAAGCCACCACCAACCAGAAGAGUUCAGGAAAUGUCAAAAGGAGACACCACAUGUCCGACCACCUCCCAGAAUCCUCACUGGCAUCCAUCUUGGCUGAACAAGGUGUGCACCACCAGGAGGGAGUCUUAGUCAGAAUGACUGGAUAAAGACAACCCAGAAACUAAUCCCAUCACCAUAAAACCAAGACUGCAGCCAUGUGGCAGAGCAGUUCUCCUGUGUUCCCUUGCCCUACUGCUCUCCACCCAGGCACCCUUUCCCAAUAAAAUUUCUUGCUUUGUCUGCACAUGUAUCUCCUUUUACAAUUCAUUUCUGAGUGUUAGACAAGAGCCCAGUUUCAG